GCUGUGAGGCAGCAGCUGUGGUGUGGAGAGAGAUGGCUGUGUAGAGCGGGUGAAGGAGCUGUUGCCACAGAGAAAGAGCUAUGUGAAGGAACUGUGGAAAGAGCAGCUGAAUAAUCCAAAGAGAAGUCCUCUCCCUUCUGGAAUAUGGAGAAGAUGGGGCAAGGCAGAACGUGGAACAAUUAAUGCAAAUCAACAAGGAGAAGAAGGCAUCCAGCUAAGGAUUCUGAAGAUCAGUGGACAAACAAAACAUCUGAAGAAAAAGGAUGAAUCAUCCAGAGGAAAUGUCCCAAGAAAAAAGAAUAAGUUGGC
Molecule: long non-coding RNA, 309 nt
Organism: Peromyscus leucopus (white-footed mouse)
Lineage: Eukaryota; Metazoa; Chordata; Mammalia; Rodentia; Cricetidae
Exons: 3
Source: RefSeq, a predicted model, not a curated record